GGAAUAAAAGUCGUAACAAGGUCUCCGUUGGUGAACCAGCGGAGGGAUCAUUAUCGAGUUUAUAACUCCCAAACCCUAUGUGAACUUACCACUUGUUGCUUCGGCGCGCGCCUCGGUGCCGCCGAGGACACUUAAACUCUUUGUUUUUAUAAGCAUUUCUGAGUGGCCGAAAGGCAAAAUACAAAUGAAUCAAAACUUUCAACAACGGAUCUCCUGGUUCUG
RNAcentral lists this unclassified non-coding RNA (222 nucleotides) under plant metagenome. RNAcentral's name for it is "partial contains small subunit ribosomal RNA, internal transcribed spacer 1, and 5.8S ribosomal RNA". The stretch from base 1 to 53 matches the Rfam family "Eukaryotic small subunit ribosomal RNA", at positions 1779 to 1831 of the family's 1831-position model. The record is from RNAcentral.